Molecule: ribosomal RNA, 253 nt
Filed under: uncultured bacterium
Lineage: Bacteria
Description: partial 16S ribosomal RNA
Rfam family: Bacterial small subunit ribosomal RNA
Source: RNAcentral
UACGUAGGGUGCGAGCGUUAAUCGGAAUUACUGGGCGUAAAGCGCUCGUAGGCGGUUUGUCGCGUCUGCCGUGAAAGUCCGGGGCUCAACUCCGGAUCUGCGGUGGGUACGGGCAGACUAGAGUGAUGUAGGGGAGACUGGAAUUCCUGGUGUAGCGGUGAAAUGCGCAGAUAUCAGGAGGAACACCGAUGGCGAAGGCAGGUCUCUGGGCAUUAACUGACGCUGAGGAGCGAAAGCAUGGGGAGCGAACAGG